RNAcentral lists this ribosomal RNA (490 nucleotides) under uncultured beta proteobacterium. RNAcentral's name for it is "bacterial SSU rRNA". It matches the Rfam family "Bacterial small subunit ribosomal RNA", at positions 30 to 509 of the family's 1533-position model. Lineage: Bacteria; Pseudomonadati; Pseudomonadota; Betaproteobacteria. The record is from RNAcentral.
AUUGAACGCUGGCGGAAUGCUUUACACAUGCAAGUCGAACGGCAGCACGGAGAGCUUGCUCUCUGGUGGCGAGUGGCGAACGGGUGAGUAAUAUAUCGGAACGUGUCCAAUAAUGGGGGAUAACGAGUCGAAAGAUUCGCUAAUACCGCAUACGCCCUACGGGGGAAAGCAGGGGAUCGUAAGACCUUGCGUUAAUGGAGCGGCCGAUAUCUGAUUAGCUUGUUGGUGAGGUAAAGGCUCACCAAGGCGACGAUCAGUAGCUGGUUUGAGAGAACGACCAGCCACACUGGAACUGAGACACGGUCCAGACUCCUACGGGAGGCAGCAGUGGGGAAUUUUGGACAAUGGGGGCAACCCUGAUCCAGCCAUUCCGCGUGAGUGAAGAAGGUCUUCGGGUUGUAAAGCUCUUUCGCAAGGGAAGAAAACUUAUGAUCGAAUAAAUCAUGAGGUUGACGGUACCUUGAUAAGAAGCACCGGCUAACUACGUGCC